CCUACGGGUGGCAGCAGUGGGGAAUAUUGGACAAUGGGCGAAAGCCUGAUCCAGCCAUGCCGCGUGUGUGAAGAAGGCCUUCGGGUUGUAAAGCACUUUCAGUGGGGAAGAAAGCCUUGGGGCUAAUACCCUCGAGGAAGGACAUCACCCACAGAAGAAGCACCGGCUAACUCCGUGCCAGCAGCCGCGGUAAUACGGAGGGUGCGAGCGUUAAUCGGAAUUACUGGGCGUAAAGCGCGCGUAGGCGGUCUGAUAAGCCGGUUGUGAAAGCCCCGGGCUCAACCUGGGAACGGCAUCCGGAACUGUUAGGCUAGAGUGCAGGAGAGGAAGGUAGAAUUCCCGGUGUAGCGGUGAAAUGCGUAGAGAUCGGGAGGAAUACCAGUGGCGAAGGCGGUCUUCUGGACUGACACUGACGCUGAGGUGCGAAAGCGUGGGUAGCAAACAGGAUUAGAUACCCCAGUAGUC
Molecule: ribosomal RNA, 465 nt
Filed under: Vreelandella stevensii
Lineage: Bacteria; Pseudomonadati; Pseudomonadota; Gammaproteobacteria; Oceanospirillales; Halomonadaceae
Description: partial 16S ribosomal RNA
Rfam family: Bacterial small subunit ribosomal RNA
Source: RNAcentral